Ornithodoros turicata is the source of this 2046-nucleotide long non-coding RNA. RefSeq lists it as uncharacterized. The transcript is spliced from 3 exons. The record is from RefSeq and is a predicted model, not a curated record. Lineage: Eukaryota; Metazoa; Arthropoda; Arachnida; Ixodida; Argasidae.
CAAACGUGGAAUCCAGCUCGAGCGCGAGAGCAGGAGCAUUAUUCGACGGACGGCAACGAGGCUCGGUGAGAUGGUAAACGCUCGUCCAGUCGGCGGGCUACAGGAGAAUUGAACGGCGUUAGGCUUAACGGCGAUUCCCGACCAACCCAGAGAGAGUGUAGUUGUAAAACCCGCCGCGGAAAGCGAGCGAGCAUUCACGGCGCAUGACUGGUGACGUCUGCGCACGGCCGGGAACGGGAGCAUUCUUCCGAAGGACCCCAACCAACCCUACCUCGACGGUCCCGAAUUUUGCUGGACGGCAGCGAUAGCAUCAUCUUCGGUCGUCGCCUGCCUUCAGGGUGUCUGGCCGUCAUAUUGAACCACAUGGUUCAGCUCGGAAAGCCGUUUUCGUACCCGGAUCGCUGUAAAACAGCACUAGGCCUAACGUACCCUUGUCGACAGGCUACCCGCAGGCAUACGGGGAACAUAACGUUGCGUUUUGCUCUGGCUUUUCAAGGGCCAGCCUGCGACGCUGGGAACAAUGCAGCGGCAACAAGGCAACAAAACGUGGCGAGCACUGCAUCAGGCCGUACAAGAAACUCCGCGACGACCGACUUAGCCAGCUCUGUGACCGUCGUACAGCCACUAACACACUAUGGCGGACAUACGAUUCGCACUGCAUGCCGGGCUUGUUCGGCAGCUUUGCCGAAUGUGACGUCACUUUUCCGGAAACUGCCGAUCCGAGCUACCACCACCACGAAGGCCGUCAGAUUCGAUUUGGCAAAGAUGACGCAAUUUACACACAUCGCUCGCAUUUGUAUAAUAAAACGGCUUCACUGAGACCCCACCCCCAUUGCAGGAACGAAACAUUUACGAGGGACUCAGAAAAAGACCUCAAGACCGACUAUUCUCGCAGCAGACGACGCUUUAUUGCAACGUAAUGCGCAGUAGCCAAAAUCACUUACAAAACAGAUUUUCGAUGCACCAAAAUGAUUGACCUGACUUACUUGUCGAGAAAAGAGCGUGCUCACGAGUGAUUUUUCAGCAAGUACAGUGGUACAGUUACCUGGUUGCAAUGUUAUUCCCACGGUUAUUCCGUUGCAGUGCCAAGACACCUUGCGCCGCCUGUCGAAAGCUCUGGAAACUGACCUGCACCUGUCACGUGCUAAAAGUCCAGGAAAUGCGGGAGCAAGAGGCAUUAUAUAAGGAGUGGUGCCAUCUGGGGUUCUUCAGAUGAAACUUUUGGAUUUGAAUUUGACCUCGAGCAUAUACACCACUGAUCUCUAUGUAUUUUACAAUCGAGAUCAGUGAUAUACACCGUUUUCCAGCCAGCCUCGCGCCCAGCGCUUUCGCACCCAGCACAUUACAGCAAGGAGGAAAGCGAUACCACGGAGGAAACAUACGUCCCGUGUGUUUUCCUUCUCUCUGGCAUGUGCGGUAUACACAGAGAUCAGUGGUAAACACCCUUCUACGUGCUUCCCCAGCUAGACAGCGAAGCGGUUCAAAUAUGGCGACGUCCACGGGAAAACUGUGUAUAAUUCAGACGGAGCACUUUUUUCGCCCAGUCUCCGAGCUCCAAGCGGCCGCUAGUCGCCAUAGCAACGGCUUACACCUAGAGGCAGGCCCCGCACACCCCUAGCACCGGCCCUGGUCCCAGUUGGUCAUCUCCGCCUGUGGACACCGGUAUAACCAUGGCCAUUCGAGUCGCCGCCUUUCGUCCGACCAAGCAUUCAUCCACGACGACGUCAGACGUCGUUUGGAACGACUAUGAAAGACAGCGCCAGAGAGAUCACGACCAAUGUUGCCAAGUUGGAGGAUUUCCCUCCAGAUGUAGAGGGUUAGUGUCGCCGCCUAGAGGGAAGAAUUUCGAUUUAGAGGCUGGAGGGAAAUCUGGAGGUUUUGGUUUCGGUUUACAAAAUUGAUGAAACAGCGCCCAGAAGCCUACGUCUCCGGAACAAUCCUACCACAGGAAAACAAUUGAACUGACUUUGCUUUCUCUCUUCUGGUCCUAGUAGAGGGUUGUUUUGGCGCAACGAAUAUAAUAAAAAAACGAAAUGUGAAACCGUA